RNAcentral lists this unclassified non-coding RNA (2956 nucleotides) under Hevea brasiliensis (rubber tree). The record is from RNAcentral. Lineage: Eukaryota; Viridiplantae; Streptophyta; Magnoliopsida; Malpighiales; Euphorbiaceae.
GAGAGAGAGAGAGCGAGAGCGAGAAGAUGAAAUCGAUGAAUGAUAAUAACAAUGGAAGCAAUAAUAACUGGCUGGGAUUCUCUCUCUCACCCCACAUGAAAAUGGAGGUUGCUUCUGACCCCCAACAUCAUCAUCGCCAGUACCAUCAUGAAUCCCAGGCUCCUUCUACUGCUGUCGUUGGUGUUUCUAGUGCUGUUCCAACAAGCUUCUAUCUGUCCUCUUCUCACUUCAAUAGCCCUGGAAUCUGUUAUGGGGUUGGGGAAAAUGUUGGUUUUCACUCACCCUUGUCUGUUAUGCCACUCAAGUCUGAUGGGUCUCUUUGCAUUUUGGAAGCUCUAACUAGAUCACAACCUGAAGGGAUGGUGCCAAGUUCACCACCAAAACUAGAGGACUUUCUGGGUGGUGCAACUAUGGAAACUCAUCAGUACGGCACCCACGAAAGGGAAACAAUGGCCCUAAGCCUAGAUAGCAUGUAUUAUCAUCAAAACACGGAGCCAGAAAGCAACAGGCAAAAUUCUGUUGACCUUCAUGAACCUUAUAGGCAACAAGACCAACAGUUCUCGAUCCAAACCCAUCCAUAUUAUGGUGAAAUAGCAUGCCAUGGAAUGUACCAAGACUCACUAGAGGAAGCAACCAAGGAUACCCAGCUUGCUGAUUGUGAUUCCCAGAUCCCCCAUAUGGAGGAUGAAGAGAUGCCUUGCUUAAAGAACUGGGUUGCUAGACAAUAUUCCACCCAUAAUGCACUAGAGCAGCAACUUAAUAGCAGCAUGGUUGAUGACGGAGGAGCCUCGGGUUCCGUUGGUCCUAUUAGUUGUGGGGAUUUACAGUCUCUCAGCUUGUCCAUGAGUCCUGGUUCUCAGUCCAGUUGUGUUACAGCGCCAAGACAGAUCUCACCUACCGGCAAUGAAUGUAUUAUGGCCAUGGAAACAAAGAAGAGAGGGUCUGCAAAAGUGGGUCAAAAGCAGCCUGUUCAUAGGAAGUCCAUAGAUACAUUUGGGCAAAGAACAUCACAGUAUAGAGGAGUUACCAGGCAUAGAUGGACGGGCAGAUAUGAAGCCCAUCUCUGGGAUAAUAGUUGCAAGAAGGAGGGCCAGACCAGGAAGGGAAGGCAAGUUUAUCUUGGGGGGUAUGAUAUGGAAGAGAAAGCUGCAAGGGCUUAUGAUCUUGCUGCCCUUAAGUACUGGGGACCUUCUACACACAUCAAUUUUCCGCUGGAAAAUUACCAGGAAGAGCUUGAAGAGAUGAAGAAUAUGAGCCGACAGGAAUACGUUGCGCAUUUACGAAGGAAAAGUAGUGGGUUCUCCAGGGGGGCCUCAAUGUACAGAGGAGUAACAAGGUUUCUUAUUUAUCUUUAUUUCGCAACCAGGUUUAUUUGUUUUAAUGGAAAGUUUUUUAUUCCAAAUUUCUACUGUUUUCAAAAUUUCUCCCAUCAUAUGCCAUUGCCAGACAUCACCAGCAUGGAAGGUGGCAAGCAAGGAUAGGCAGAGUUGCAGGAAACAAGGACCUUUAUCUUGGGACGUUCAGUAAGUUCUAUCAUUUUAGAUUUAAAGUUCUCCCCUAUUUUAUGGGGCUAUAUUCCUUUCAAUCAUUCUCAUUUCAAGUUCAAAAUUUUUUUUGGGCUCUUGCUGUGCAUAAAGAACUUUUAAAAGGACUCAUUUUUAUGACACCUCUGCUUGCAUGUCUCCACUAAAGACUAGUGAUGCUUUUAUAAGGCUGAUGAUGGCCUACUUUGGGACUGUACAGUACAUGCUUUUCUGAUUCAGUAAAAUCUCAACUUUUUAUAAGGCUGUUUUUCUAUCAGUUAAGAUGAUAAAAGAGGGAUAAAAGUAUUUUCUGACUAAAAUUCUUUGAUUGAAGGUUUUUUGAAUUGUCUUUUAUGCUAAAUUGUGGGUGUUGGCAUUCUUGCAUAAAAUGUUAAAUGUAAAAUAAAAUUCCAGGCACCCAAGAGGAAGCGGCUGAAGCUUAUGAUAUUGCAGCGAUCAAGUUUCGUGGGGUUAAUGCUGUAACUAACUUCGACAUAACAAGAUAUGAUGUUGAGAGGAUCAUGGCAAGUAGCACUCUGCUAGCAGGAGAGCUAGCCAGGCGAAACAAGGAGACUGAGACGAGUAAUGGGGCAAUUGAGUAUAACCCACCAGCACAGAACAGCGGUGAAUCCAUACAGAUUCCAAAUAGCAAUGGCUCUGAUUGGAAAGUGGCUUUGUACGAGUCACCGCAGCGGCCACAGCCCAAUGCCUGCGUUGAUUCGCUUGAUCACAAGUCCACGAGUGUGGGAAUUUAUCGAAGUUCCUCGUAUUCAAUGGCAAUGCAAGAUCUUAUCGGUAUUGAUUCAGUGAACUGUAGCCAGCCUGCAGUGAUGGAUGAAUCAGCCGCCAGACUUGGGACCCAUGCCUCGAAUACGUCAUCGUUGGUGACCAGUUUGAGCAGCUCGAGAGAAGCUAGCCCAGAUAAAACUAGCACCACAGUGCUGUUUGCUAAGCCUCCUGUGGCAUCAAAGUUCAUUAACCCUGCAAGCGGUGUUACUCCAUGGUUCCAAACAGCAGCAGCCCAGCUGAGGCCAGCAGCAAUCUCCAUGGGUCACUUGCCAGUUUUUGCAGCUUGGAAUGAUACCUAAAAUUAGACCGUUCUUGUGUUUUGCUGAAACAGGCGAAGUUUUUGCAUGGGCAAAAUACAAGGGUGAAGUAGGAUUUUUCAUUAUGUUAGUGGAGAAAAUUGGGGAUUAAUGAGAACACAAUGGUGGGGGCCAAUUAUCUUGUCUGUAACCCAAGUAUAAGAAACUUUUUAGCAAAUGUGGACCUUUUGGCUCAUAUUGGAAUGAAAGAUUUUGCAAAAUGGAGGGAUUAAUGAUUAAAUUGUGUGGAAUUGCUGUUGGCCCAUAUAACAAUUGUUUUGAAUGAAUCUACUUUUUUAUGUGCUGCUAAGUACAUAACCAGCUCAUUGUUUUCCAAUAAUGCAAAAG